AAGCAAAAUAGACCACAUAAUUCUGAUCUUCUUCAUCUCUAGGUAUAUGGUUUAUGAUAUUACAAAACAUAAUUAACAGCAAAAAUUUAGACAAAUAUUUCUUUAACUCCAACACAAAAGUACACAUAGCAUUAGGUUAUUCCUAAGAUUUCUGGGCUUCUGGUCCUAAAAUCCCAUUCACUACUGACGUAGCGACAAGAACUCCGACGAACUCAGCCGCCACGACGGCUCCAGCUUGUGUCAAUCCAUUAAAGCUAACCGCCGUCACGAUUUCCUUCUCUGCCGUCUCUACACCUCUCUCCGCCGCUUCUAAUCCUUUCUCCGCCGCAUCAACGCCUUUCUCCGCCGUCUCAAAGCCUUCUUUCACGAUCUCCACCGCUUCUUCUUCUGCUUUCUUCAGUUUCUUUCUUAUAC
Molecule: small RNA, 414 nt
Filed under: Arabidopsis thaliana (thale cress)
Lineage: Eukaryota; Viridiplantae; Streptophyta; Magnoliopsida; Brassicales; Brassicaceae
Description: ATSL109660
Source: RNAcentral